RNAcentral lists this ribosomal RNA (496 nucleotides) under uncultured bacterium. RNAcentral's name for it is "partial 16S ribosomal RNA". It matches the Rfam family "Bacterial small subunit ribosomal RNA", at positions 28 to 506 of the family's 1533-position model. The record is from RNAcentral.
GAUGAACGCUGGCGGCGUGCCUAAUACAUGCAAGUCGAGCGAACAGACGAGGAGCUUGCUCCUCUGACGUUAGCGGCGGACGGGUGAGUAACACGUGGAUAACCUACCUAUAAGACUGGGAUAACUUCGGGAAACCGGAGCUAAUACCGGAUAAUAUAUUGAACCGCAUGGUUCAAUAGUGAAAGACGGUUUUGCUGUCACUUAUAGAUGGAUCCGCGCCGCAUUAGCUAGUUGGUAAGGUAACGGCUUACCAAGGCAACGAUGCGUAGCCGACCUGAGAGGGGUAGGGGCCCACCUGGAACUGAGACACGGUCCAGACCCAUCGGGGGGGCAGCAGUAGGGAAUCUUCCGCAAUGGGCGAAAGCCGGACGGAGCAACGCCGGGGGAGUGAUGAAGGUCUCCGGUUUGUAAACCUCUUUUAUUAGGGAAAAAAAAAUGUGUAAGUAAAUAUGCACGUCUUGACGGUACCUAAUCAGAAAGCCCCGGCUAACUACGU